Molecule: ribosomal RNA, 484 nt
Filed under: uncultured soil bacterium
Lineage: Bacteria
Description: bacterial SSU rRNA
Rfam family: Bacterial small subunit ribosomal RNA
Source: RNAcentral
AGGACGAACGCUGGCGGCGUGCUUAACACAUGCAAGUCGAGCGGUAAGGCCUUUCGGGGUACACGAGCGGCGAACGGGUGAGUAACACGUGGGUGAUCUGCCCUGCACUCUGGGAUAAGCCUGGGAAACUGGGUCUAAUACCGGAUAUGACCUGCUCUCGCAUGGGGGUGGGUGGAAAGAUUUAUCGGUGCAGGAUGGGCCCGCGGCCUAUCAGCUUGUUGGUGGGUAAUGGCCUACCAAGGCGACGACGGGUAGCCGACCUGAGAGGGUGACCGGCCACACUGGGACUGAGACACGGCCCAGACUCCUACGGGAGGCAGCAGUGGGAAUAUGCACAAGUGGGCGAAAGCCUGAUGCAGCGACGCCGCGUGAGGAUGAAGGCCUUACGGGUUGUAAACCUCUUUCAGCGAGGACGAAGCGACGAAGUGACGUACCGUGACGAAGAAGAAGACGAACCGGACUAACGUACGUGCCAGCAGCCGAC